UUCGUAGGCGGUGUGGCAAGUUGGGAGUGAAAUCUCUGGGCUCAACCCAGAGGCUGCUUCCAAAACUGCUGUGCUUGAGUGUGGGAGAGGCGCGUGGAAUUGCAGGUGUGGCGGUGAAAUGCGUAGAUAUCUGCAGGAACACCCGUGGCGAAAGCGGCGCGCUGGACCACAACUGACGCUGAGGAACGAAAGCUAGGGGAGCAAACAGGAUUAGAUACCCUGGUAGUCCUAGCCCUAAACGAUCAGGACUUGGGGUGCCACCCGUUCGGGUGUCGUCCCGGAGCUAACGCGUUAAGUCCUGCACCUGGGGAGUACGGUCGCAAGACUGAA
Molecule: ribosomal RNA, 330 nt
Filed under: uncultured bacterium
Lineage: Bacteria
Description: bacterial SSU rRNA
Rfam family: Bacterial small subunit ribosomal RNA
Source: RNAcentral